GGUGGUGUAGUUCAACUGGUCAGAGAACGCUCGCCCCGUAAGCGAGCGAUGCGGGUUCGACUCCCGCCGCCACCUUCA
Molecule: transfer RNA, 78 nt
Filed under: Acidobacteriota bacterium
Lineage: Bacteria; Pseudomonadati; Acidobacteriota
Description: Acidobacteria bacterium tRNA-Thr
Rfam family: tRNA
About the family: Transfer RNA (tRNA) molecules are approximately 80 nucleotides in length.
Source: RNAcentral